UCAGUUCGUACUGUGAAGCAUCCUGUUAAGUCAGGCAACGAGCGAGACCCACGCCCACAGUUGCCAGCGUACUCUCCGGAGUGACGGGUACACGUGUGGGGACCGCCGCUGCUAAAGCGGAGGAAGGAAUGGGCAACGGUAGGUCAGUAUGCCCCGAAUAUCCCGGGCUACACGCGAGCUACAAUGGUUGGUACAAUGGGUAUCUACCCCGAAAGGGGACGGAAAUCUCCUAAAACCAAUCUUAGUUCGGAUUGAGGGCUGCAACUCGCCCUCAUGAAGCUGGAAUCCGUAGUAAUCGCGUUUCAACAGAACGCGGUGAAUACGUCCCUGCUCCUU
This 336-nucleotide ribosomal RNA is filed under the name uncultured Methanosaeta sp. RNAcentral describes it as "bacterial SSU rRNA". It matches the Rfam family "Archaeal small subunit ribosomal RNA", at positions 1004 to 1338 of the family's 1478-position model. Lineage: Archaea; Methanobacteriati; Methanobacteriota; Methanomicrobia; Methanotrichales; Methanotrichaceae. The record is from RNAcentral.